GGAGAUGUAGCUCAGUGGCAGAGUGCUUGGCUAAUGAGUGUGAGGUCUUGGGUUCAAUCCCCAACACCCCCC
RNAcentral lists this transfer RNA (72 nucleotides) under Heterocephalus glaber (naked mole-rat). It matches the Rfam family "tRNA". Rfam says of the family: Transfer RNA (tRNA) molecules are approximately 80 nucleotides in length. The record is from Rfam by way of RNAcentral. Lineage: Eukaryota; Metazoa; Chordata; Mammalia; Rodentia; Bathyergidae.